RNAcentral lists this ribosomal RNA (480 nucleotides) under uncultured bacterium. Its description in RNAcentral is "bacterial SSU rRNA". It matches the Rfam family "Bacterial small subunit ribosomal RNA", at positions 30 to 506 of the family's 1533-position model. The record is from RNAcentral.
UUGAACGCUGGCGGCAUGCCUUACACAUGCAUGUCGAACGGUAACAGGUCUUCGGAUGCUGACGAGUGGCGAACGGGUGAGUAAUACAUCGGAACGUGCCCGAGAGUGGGGGAUAACGGAGCGAAAGCUUUGCUAAUACCGCAUAUGCCCUGAGGGGGAAAGUGGGGGAUCGCAAGACCUCACGCUUUCGGAGUGGCCGAUAUCGGAUUAGCUAGUUGGUGGGGUAAAGGCCCACCAAGGCGACGAUCCGUAGCUGGUCUGAGAGGACGACCAGCCACACUGGGACUGAGACACGGCCCAGACUCCUACGGGAGGCAGCAGUGGGGAAUUUUGGACAAUGGGGGCAACCCUGAUCCAGCCAUGCCGCGUGAGUGAAGAAGGCCUUCGGGUUGUAAAGCUCUUUCGGACGGAAAGAAACGGUCACGGCCAAUACCCGUGGCUAAUGACGGUACCGUCAGAAGAAGCACCGGCUAACUACGU